UACGCAGGGGGCAAGCGUUGUUCGGAAUUACUGGGCGUAAAGGGCGCGUAGGCGGCCUUCUAAGUCGAACGUGAAAUCCCCGGGCUCAACCCGGGAACUGCGUCCGAUACUGGAAGGCUUGAAUCCGGGAGAGGGAUGUGGAAUUCCAGGUGUAGCGGUGAAAUGCGUAGAUAUUCGGAAGAACACCAGUGGCGAAGGCGGCUCACUGGACUGGUAUUGACGCUGAGGUGCGAAAGCGUGGGGAGCAAACAGG
This 253-nucleotide ribosomal RNA is filed under the name uncultured bacterium. RNAcentral's name for it is "partial 16S ribosomal RNA". It matches the Rfam family "Bacterial small subunit ribosomal RNA", at positions 524 to 776 of the family's 1533-position model. The record is from RNAcentral.